UAUGGAGUAUAAUUAAUGGGUUGCAAAGGUUGAGAAAGUUGGUGAAGAAUUUAAAGUUUUCGUCAGAGCUUGUUAUCUUGGAAGCUAUAGUGAAAGAGAUGGUGAACAGUGGAAAGCGAUGGAGAUUGAGCAUAUGUUUAUACUCUCCACACAAAAGCUCUGUUUUCUAAUAAUUCCAUGUUUUUUUAAUAUUUUUUAUUGUGAGUAACUUGUUUUUCCUCAACUUAUGUUUAUACUCUUCACGAUAUAUUCAUCCAUGAACUACCCAGCAUACUAUCCACGAAAAAUCCAUCCACGAUACACUAUUCACGAG
RNAcentral lists this long non-coding RNA (313 nucleotides) under Brassica rapa (field mustard). RNAcentral's name for it is "long non-coding RNA (BRAP_LNC006475)". Lineage: Eukaryota; Viridiplantae; Streptophyta; Magnoliopsida; Brassicales; Brassicaceae. The record is from RNAcentral.